Molecule: long non-coding RNA, 1406 nt
Organism: Mustela erminea (ermine)
Lineage: Eukaryota; Metazoa; Chordata; Mammalia; Carnivora; Mustelidae
Exons: 6
Source: RefSeq, a predicted model, not a curated record
AUAAACUGUGCGGUGCAAUUCAGAAAACGGCACCGGGGAGUCCAGGACGCGAAUCAGGAUGAAUUGAGGGAAUGAAUUGAGAAGGAAAUUCAGGGCUUGUGCCGCAUUCACCAAAGUCAAAGGAGCGGGUGAGGGUCCAAAAAGUUGGUCCGGGGGAAGUGUCGCCGUCACUACCAGGUGUUGUUCUCUUUGAAGUGGUGUUCUCUUUUAAGCGGGAUAUGGAACAAUGGUCUCAUAUUCUCCUGUCGACCUAGAUUGGCACUAUGAAGAAGCAAGCAAGCCAGAAAUAGAACCAUAAUUUCAAAGAAAACAUUUGAAGAUACCAAAUCCAGUUCAUAUGUAAGAGACUUUUCUGCAGACCCCUUAGGGUGCACCUACAUCACUUGGAAACCAUUCGGCCAAAGAAUAUCUGUUGGACCACUGUUGGUAAUUCCAGUCCUAGCUCAAUUCUUGAGCAUAGAUAUAAUUUCCUGUGUGGCACUCAAUAUCUCCAAGACCUAGGAUGCUCCUUGAGAGGCAUGGUACUAUUUUGAGGUUUGUUCCAGGGUCAAACAGAGUUUCAGCAUUCCCAGAAGAGAAAUGGAACUACCUCCUUGUUGUUGAACACUUUGUCUUCAUGUCACAAAUAUUCAUGCAUAUAUUCAACCAACUGCUAUUUCCUGACAGGAUGGUGUUUCAAGACUAUCUUUUCUAUUUACAUUUCACAUGAAGAAAAGGGUACUGUUCCUUGAGAAAGCUCUUUCUUCAUUAGGGCAGGUUCCAUAUCCAAUCAUUUUGUAAACUGUGAAAAUAAAGAACAAGACUAAAUAAUGAAGCAAUAUUUGUGUAGUAGAAUAGACUAUCGGAAAUUUCGCUGGAGGUCCAUGACAGAACUGAAAUUAACACUUGAGUAUCUACACGUAUGGAAUAUUUCAUAGCUUGAGAGAAUCAUAUCCCUAAAUUUUUUUCUGCUCUAUAAUGCAUUGCUGCUACUUUUGUGUUAACUAAGGGACGGUAGUAAAAUAAAGGUUUAAAAUGGAAGAAUAUAACUGCAUAUAUUUCUAGUUAUAGGUAACCUUAUUUUUGGUAUUUAGUAUCUCCCAGCUACUAAAAACGCAUCAAUGUGUAAUUCUCACACAACCUUCAUCAUCAUCUUUAUGUUACAGACAGGGAACAAGAGGCUUAAAGAAGUUAGGGAGCAGGGUUUCCAGAAUGACAAUAACUCUCUUCCAAGGAAAUAAAAAAAUAACUUGUGUAUGUUAUGAAAAAUAUUAAUUUAAACUUCUGGAAAUUGUCCCAAGAGCAUACAGCAAAAUGGGAAAGCAUUUAUUCAAGAAAGACCACUUAAUCUCAUUAAGAACAAUGAGCUUGGACACCUGGGUGGCUCAGUGGGUUAAUGCCUCUGCCUUCGGCUCAGGUCAUGAUCC